UCAUUUUCCCUGUCAUAUAAUUUUGUUGACUCAUGUUUCACUUCUUUUCUUCCCUUUUUCCCACUAAACGGGGGUGGACAUUAAAUGUUCCUGCUUGGGGAAUAGGAUGGCCUGGAGGGAAUGACCAUGAAGACCGGCACUUCACCUCCAGGUCAUUGGUCUUUGUCCAGCUGCAAGCAGAUGUGGUGAGAUUCACUUCCCAUCUACUGCACGCCUGCAUGGGCCAGGCACCCCCCAGUGCUAAGAAUACAGAGCUGAGUGUGUGAGCAAGCUGGAUAAGGAAAGGUGAAAUUACAAUAAAACGUGGGCUGCAAGGGAGGAUGAUUGCAACAAACCUACAAGAUGCUGGAGAAGGAAAAAUGGUUUUGGACGAGGAUGAUACUCGGGAGGAAGAGGUGAAGACAGCAGAGGAGGAUGGCCACUUGCUGAGUGGUGCUGCCCUGUCAGGAACCAGCAGGCACUGUGAACGUGCAUCCUCGAGGGAGCAGGUGAACUGGACCUCAGAGCCCAGAACCACAGGGAGGAUGUCAGUGCCCGGGAAAGCAAAGGAGGAAAUUCCAGAAAGAGAAAGCAAGGGAACCAAAUAUGGAAAUGAGAACGUGCACAGGGAGUUUGAAGAACAUUGGGAAGUUUAAAGAGGGUUGAAGCCCUGGUGUAUUUACAGGUGCAACUGGAAAUGCGGAGGUCGGCCAUGGG
Long non-coding RNA from Homo sapiens (human), 696 nucleotides. RefSeq lists it as uncharacterized. The transcript is spliced from 3 exons. The record is from RefSeq and is a predicted model, not a curated record. Lineage: Eukaryota; Metazoa; Chordata; Mammalia; Primates; Hominidae.